GAUGUUGAAUUCAUAGCAGAAUUUACUUUCAAUGCUGUACUGGCUGAAAGCAGUAGUACCACUGCCUGCUCACCCGUACUAAGGGAGGCUGCAAGCAAACAUGUCAAAGGAUCCUGGAAAUGAAGAAGUUAAGAAACUGUUAGCCAGAACAAAUGCCUACUCUACCCGAUUUGAUACCUUUCUUCUGUUGGAUCCUGAAAAUCAUGGUAUCGAGGACUGGUUAGAAUUUUCUGUAGCUGACCUCUUCACGCAGUGCCUGGGGUUUUUGGAACAGGUCCUUUCCGUUUGCAUUCUUACUUUCAAAGUAACGGCCCUUGCCGAACACUUAUCUACCAAUAGAACAGAGGCAGUGUUGCUUAGUUUUGUGUUAAAAAAAUAAAACAUCACAGCAAAUUAAGCUAUGCGGGGAAUAUUGGGAUGGCCAAAGUGUGAAACUACUGAACUCCAUUGCGGUAUUUAAAAAUCUCCACUCCUAUAUUAUUUUUUUGAAAAGAAACAAGCCAACUUUAUAACUUAAACACAGAAUAUACUGCUAACAAAGAAAAAUCACAAACGUUUUCAAGAAAUUACGUUGAAUAGUUUUCCAUAGAAAUAAUAAAGUAUGAAGGAAAGUCUACAGUGUCGCAAACGGAGAUAUGCGGUUUCACACUUCGGCCGUUGAUAUAGUCGUAACCAUCUAUUUUUGGUUUAAUUAAUCCUAAAAUUGAGGUUAGAUGUUUGCUUUCUCGUGUUUUUGCAUGAGAUUAUAUGCUUCUCCAGAAUCAUUCAUAAGUUUAAUGGAUUGUAACGGAGAAACUUUUCUUUUUGUUAUUUUCGUAGGGUGAGUUAAGGAAGUCACAGAUCAUCUGGGUAGACAUUUGCAUGAGAUUUCAGCAGAACUGAAUGUAGAUUAUGUUAAACAACUAUUUAAUGAAAUUCCAUCAACAGUCUCCAUUGUGGAAGCAUUGCCUUGGCUUCAGCAAGUUAUACCUCAUGUGUUGGACUCUUUUCCGGAAGUUUUAACUGAGUUCAUCGAAUGGUUCCUUACAAAAGUGUGGGAAUUAGAAAAGAUAGCGCCAUCAAAGUGGCCCUCCAUUGGAGUCCAGUAUGCAGAAAUUUUACUUCAGAUGAUUCGCAACCCUCGAAGUUUGGUAGCAUCUGAAAUGAAGGCAUAUUUUUGGCAUUCAAGCACACUUAAUUCACCAGUCAGCAAACUUAUAAAGAUAAUAAAAACUCUAAAGGAGAUCAAUGAUUUGUUUCAGCAUUAUAAUAUCCAUAUCAGCACAACAGAAUAUUAUCAUGAUAGCCCGGAAGAAGUCGUCUUCAUUCUGUUAAGCCGAGCACCUAUAGAUGAAUGCAGCAGAUUAGUCAAUGAGUUUUUGGACAAAUUUUUCUUGAAAACCAGUUAAUUCGAGAUAAGAUAAUUGCUCGUUUCAUUGAAGUAAGUACCAUUGUCUCUACUGUAGUUGUUCACUCAUCCAGGUUAGUUCUUAAAAUAUGAAGAAAACGAUGGAAUAUGUCCACUGCCACUGAACAAAUCAAUUAGGUAUAAGUUAUAAAGAAUUGUUCCAGCGAAUUGUGUCACAUAAUUUAGAAAACCUUAAAAUGAUUGCAUUUUAGAAAGAAAGAGAUAGCUCUUUCUCUUCCUUCCCCUGACCCUCCCCUCCUCCUAAUAAGCUUUUUUUACAGAGAGGGCCAUAUGUAUCCACGUUUUUCAAAAAAACUAAUGAGCCUGAAAAUGUGUAAUAAAUAAACCUCUUCAAUUACUUGAGGAAUAAAUACGAGUAUUUCACUUAGUUGAAAACGAAUGUAUUUUUAACAGGAGGAGGUCAUGUAAGUGUCCCAUUGAGAUUUAGAUCGGUGUGCAUAUUUUCAAAAGUUUCUUCCCAUAAACAUAGUGUACCCCAAUUUCACUGGUUGUGUGCAUGGGCCCUAAAAAUUAAUUUUUUUUUUUUUUUAUCAAAUCAGGGAAAAGAGUAGUUAUUUAAAGUGGCAAAAUAACGCUCCUCUCGUUUCAGUGUUGCAACAGCAUUGUAUGCAGAUGGGGGCUUUGUGUUCAGGCCGAAGGACCUGGGACUGAACUCUCAGCGUUCUCUUGUAGUUUAUGUGUAACUGUUCCCGUAAACAGAGAGAAAGUGAAAAUUCCUUAUUUCUUUUUUAGUGUAUUUUCCGAAGGAAAUACACUACUGCAUCUCCUUUGACGUCAGACCCGGACCAAAGAUCAUGUAAUGAGCAUCUAUCAUGGGUUGUAGAUUACGAAUAUGCAUGCCGUUUGAAUAUAAGUUUAUACACACUACGGGAAACGCCCCCUAGCCACUGCGCGGCCCAUCCCACUGAAGGCGCUCCGUGCCAUCAAGGGACUUCUUGACGGCCCUGUUUUCCAGCUUCUUAUCAAUGUUGGUUUUUUCCCAACUCGAGGUCCGGGGGAGGGGCGCAUCAUGCAACGGCCAAGCAUAUCCCCGCGAGAAUAUGAAUGACUGCUGCAGACCGUCACAAAACAUUCGCCGAACAAAAAUUCAGGAAGAUCCUAAAUGCCCUUGAUAGCAAGAAAGUCUGUACUAACUUCUAAAGGAACUAUAUCUCUAGUGCGGAGCUAUUUCUUGAUACUCCAGAGCAGAGCACUUACCAUUUGGAUAGCCGAAAAUUUUCAAUCUUGCUCUGACCCUCUCAGCCGCAUUUCACCUCUUCGCCAGAACGUAAUGCUCUGAGCCACCACAUCAGCAGUGCUGAAAGUGAGGAGUUAUUUUUUCAGUCUAGCAAGUAACCUUCUUGGCAAAUUUCUGAUAUUUUUUUUUCAGCUACUGGGGCUCCUCUGCCAAAAUGGUUAAAUAGGGGUCAAAUGGUUUCCUAUUAAGAUACUUACGGCCACAUACUGAAUCAAAUGUAGGUAAGACACUCUUCCCUGUAUGAAGAACGGUUGCCAACCUGUUUCAUAAUCGGUGCCGCAAAAUAUGAAUAAUAGUGAUAACAUUAGUGCAUAAAGUUUUAAUAAUAUAGAAGGGGAAAAGACGUAGGAUUCUUUCAAGUGACAAUAAAUCAAGAAAAUUGCUUAGUUUGCAACUCGUCUAUUUUUUAAAUCAAGUCUCUAAUAGCUAAUCUUUUUUUUCUCCUCUCUCUUCUUUUUUCUGUGUGUUCUUACAGAUGGAAAUCGAGCAUCAUCUGCAGUGGUGGAAGUGUGAAGACAAUUUCAAAGAAAUGAGAUUAUCAAGUUCAUUCAAUGCAUCUCUUGCCCUGAAGUAUGGAUCAAUUUCUUUAUUGCUCUGUAGUGGUUUCUAGUUUUUACUGACCAUGUUAACCCAUUGCCAUACCAUUUCAUUUUCAUUUUUCAAGCCUUGACAUGCCAUUCAACUCAGGUAAAAUCAGCCCCUCCACUGGAUGAAUUUGCAGUACGUCGACGCGUCUGUUUGUAAAUGUUGUCGUUGCCCACAGUGCGCUCGACAAAAUGCUUGGUUAAAGCAUGGCAGUUGGUAAAAAAGAACCUUACAUACAAGAUAAUGAGAAUGAAGUAAGAUUCAGAUUGCGUGCAAUGGAUCAGUCAUGUGCGUCAAAGAAUUGUGCUGUGAUGUUUUGAUAUACACCGUUCUGGUGGACAGGCUGUCGACAAAUUUAGUUUUCUGCAUGGGCCAUGUCAAAUCCAAUGUAAACUGUGCAACGAGGCCCAGCGCCGCGCACUAUGGUCCACAGCCCAUAUUUAAUGGAACUUUAUUCAAAUUUUGAAGGUGCAAGAAAGUAAAGUUUAGCACUGUAGUUUUAUCAUACAUACUCCGACUUUUGGGAUAGGAACCCUCUCCCUCCCAUUUACUCACCAAGGUGAGCUGGGGGGGGGGGGUGUUUCGGCACCAUGUAAUUCGAAUUCCUUGGGGUCGAUUCUCUAUUCAACCCUGCAGUCCCCGACUUCGUAGGACCUAAACCAACCGAGAAAAAGGCUUAGUACGGGUGGUGUGGGAUACCCUGUAUAACAAGGUAUAAAAAAUAUUUAUUAGAGAGGAAGGUAAGAGGGAGGAGAAAAUAUCUAUAAUUGCUGCCUACAGCAUGAAUAUAAGGCCCGAACGGUGAAAAACCUCUCCUUAGCCAGCGCGGGAUGGAGCGCUCCCGAUAUGCUGCGCGCGCGCGUAACCGGGAACGCGUAGAAAAAUCGCUAUAACUCAAGAGCAAAUCGUUUCCUCAAAUCUCACUUUUUAAAAAAAAUUCGGUGUUAAGACCCCUCUGCAAGGUUUUACGGCAAACUUGAAUGACCCUAUUUUAUAGAAAAUUUCAUGAACCUUUCGUUGCAUACCUUGUUUUUUUAUUAAACGCCCUUUUACAUGUAAAAAAUAAAAAAAACACGGACAUUUUUUUGAGCAAAUUGCUAUUUUUUCAACAUUGCCUCCGCAUUUUCACGAGAGACACCAGAAAGACAAAUAAAGGUACAUUUCUUACAUAAAACGAGGUGUUGCGAUUCGGGCCGAAAUUGGCCCCUCCAUGAAAUCGGGAAAUCUUUGAAUGUUUGACGGUUGACGAUGCAUACUUAACAGAAAUAAUCGAGUUUUGCCGAUACUCCUAUUUCUUGGCUGCGAAACAGGGGCCUUAACAUGGCUCUGGAGCAUAAACAGCUAAAAAUCCAUGUUUUUCGCGGUUCUACCUCUGAUUUCGACCUGGGUCCUAAGGGACGGGUCAUGAGCUUCGAAUAUGAUGUCAGGGACACCUAGGCACGUGAUUUCCUUGAAAAUGAUCAACCGUUCCCUUUGGGCCCAAGUUCCAAUCGAACUUUUCUAACUUUCUUAUCCCAAAGUAGCUGAAAUCCAUGUUUUCCGCAGUUCUAUUUUAGAUUUUGACAUGGGCCUAAAGGUGACGGAUAAUCAUAUUAACACUGUAAGUUAUAUGUCUUGGUUUCUCUGCAAUCAUAUUCGAAGCUCGCGGCCCAUCCCCUUUGAGCCCAGGUCAAUAUCUGAGGUAGAACCGCGAAAGUAAUGGAUUUUCAGCUAUUGUGGGCUAAAAACUUAGAAAAGUUCGAUUUUAAACUUGAGCCCAAAGGGGACGGUUGAUCAUAUUCAAGUUUGUUACAUGCCUAGGUGUCCCUGACAUCAUAUUCGAAGCUCAUGACCCGUCCCCUUUGGACCCAGGUCCAAAUCAGAGGUAGAACGGCGAAAAACAUGGAUUUUAAGCGUUUUCUGCUCCGGAGCCGUGUUAAGGCCCCUAUUUCGCAGCCAAGAAAUGUGAG
This 5179-nucleotide long non-coding RNA is filed under the name Bemisia tabaci. RNAcentral's name for it is "lncRNA ENSSSA3NGG007772". Lineage: Eukaryota; Metazoa; Arthropoda; Insecta; Hemiptera; Aleyrodidae. The record is from RNAcentral.